GAGUGGCGGACGGGUGAGUAAUGCUUGGGAACUUGCCUUUGCGAGGGGGAUAACAGUUGGAAACGACUGCUAAUACCGCAUAAUGUUCUACGGACUCGGUCCGAAGGACCAAACGGGGCUUCGGCUCCGGCGCAAAGAGAGGCCCAAGUGAGAUUAGCUAGUUGGUAAGGUAACGGCUUACCAAGGCGACGAUCUCUAGCUGUUCUGAGAGGAAGAUCAGCCACACUGGGACUGAGACACGGCCCAGACUCCUACGGGAGGCAGCAGUGGGGAAUAUUGCACAAUGGGGGAAACCCUGAUGCAGCCAUGCCGCGUGUGUGAAGAAGGCCUUCGGGUUGUAAAGCACUUUCAGUUGUGAGGAAAAGUUAGUAGUUAAUACCUGCUAGCCGUGACGUUAACAACAGAAGAAGCACCGGCUAACUCCGUGCCAGCAGCCGCGGUAAUACGGAGGGUGCGAGCGUUAAUCGGAAUUACUGGGCGUAAAGCGCACGCAGGCGGUUU
RNAcentral lists this ribosomal RNA (501 nucleotides) under Alteromonas sp. WH82. RNAcentral describes it as "bacterial SSU rRNA". It matches the Rfam family "Bacterial small subunit ribosomal RNA", at positions 93 to 581 of the family's 1533-position model. Lineage: Bacteria; Pseudomonadati; Pseudomonadota; Gammaproteobacteria; Alteromonadales; Alteromonadaceae. The record is from RNAcentral.